UGCGCAGGCGGUCUUGCAAGACAGGUGUGAAAUCCCCGGGCUUAACGUGGGCAUUGCAUUUGAAACUAUGUAGCUAGAGUUCUGUAGAGGGGGGUAGAAUUCCAGGUGUAGCGGUGAAAUGCGUAGAGAUGUGGAGGAAUACCGAUUGCGAAGGCAGCCCCCUGGACAGUGACUGACGCUCAUAUGCGAAAGCGUGGGGAUCAAACAGGAUUAGAUACCCUAGUA
This 225-nucleotide ribosomal RNA is filed under the name uncultured Thorsellia sp. Its description in RNAcentral is "partial 16S ribosomal RNA". It matches the Rfam family "Bacterial small subunit ribosomal RNA", at positions 568 to 792 of the family's 1533-position model. Lineage: Bacteria; Pseudomonadati; Pseudomonadota; Gammaproteobacteria; Enterobacterales; Thorselliaceae. The record is from RNAcentral.